UACGUAGGUGACAAGCGUUGUCCGGAUUUACUGGGCGUAAAGAGCGCGCAGGCGGUCGUUCAAGUCGAGUGUGAAAGCCCCCGGCUCAACUGGGGAGGGUCACUCGAUACUGAUCGACUCGAAGGCAGGAGAGGGUAGUGGAAUUCCCGGUGUAGUGGUGAAAUGCGUAGAUAUCGGGAGGAACACCAGUGGCGAAGGCGACUACCUGGCCUGUUCCUGACGCUGAGGCGCGAAGGCCAGGGGAGCAAACGGG
Molecule: ribosomal RNA, 253 nt
Filed under: uncultured bacterium
Lineage: Bacteria
Description: partial 16S ribosomal RNA
Rfam family: Bacterial small subunit ribosomal RNA
Source: RNAcentral